GUAAAUGGCGAAAGAAAGUUAGGGCGUCUGGUGGAUGCCUUGGCUCUCGGAGGCGAUGAAGGACGUGAUAAGCUGCGAUAAGCCGUGGGUAGGUGCAAAUAACCUUUGAUCCAUGGAUUUCCGAAUGGGACAACCCAGCCGGCUGAAGGCCGGUUAUCCUUACCCAAGUAAGGAGGCAAACGGGGGGAACUGAAACAUCUUAGUACCCCCAGGAAGAGAAAAUAAAUAAUGAUUCCCCCAGUAGUGGCGAGCGAACGGGGAAGAGCCCAAACCGCAUGUGUAGCAAUGCACAUACGGGGUAGUAGGACCACGCCGUGGUACCUGAAUCGUGAGAAGAAUCAUCUGGAAAGUUGAUCCGUAGAAGGUGAAAGACCUGUAAUCGAAGCGAGACGGGGCCUAGUGGUAUCCUGAGUAACGCGGAGCACGAGGAAUUCUGCGCGAAUCCGCCGGGACCAUCCGGUAAGGCUAAAUACUCCCGAGAGACCGAUAGCGAACCAGUACCGUGAGGGAAAGGUGAAAAGCACCCCGACGAGGGGAGUGAAACAGUACCUGAAACCAGUCGCCUACAAGCGGUCGGAGCUAGUUUUACUAGUGACGGCGUGCCUUUUGCAUAAUGAACCUACGAGUUACCAUCACAGGCGAGGUUAAGCGGUUCAGCCGCGUAAGCCGCAGUGAAAGCGAGCCUGAACAGGGCGUCAAGUCUGUGGGGGUAGACGCGAAACCGAGUGAUCUACACAUGUCCAGGGUGAAGUCCCGGUAACACGGGAUGGAGGCCCGCACCAAUAAGCGUUGAAAAGCUUCUGGAUGAGGUGUGUGUAGGAGUGAAAGGCCAAUCAAACUCGGAGAUAGCUCGUACUCCCCGAAAGGCAUUUAGGUGCCGCGUCGGAUGGUCACCGUGAGAGGUAGAGCGACCGAUAGGUCAAGAGGGCUUCACCGCCUAUCGAGACCUGACGAACUCCGAAUGCUCACGGUCUGCAGUCCGGCAGUAAGGGUGCGGGUGCUAAGGUCCGUGCCCGAGAGGAGAAGAAUCCAGACCGCCGUCUAAGGUCCCGGAAUCCUGUCUGAGUUAGUCUAACGAAGUCU
This 1083-nucleotide ribosomal RNA is filed under the name Prevotella sp. khp7. Its description in RNAcentral is "bacterial LSU rRNA". It matches the Rfam family "Bacterial large subunit ribosomal RNA", at positions 1 to 1078 of the family's 2925-position model. The record is from RNAcentral. Lineage: Bacteria; Pseudomonadati; Bacteroidota; Bacteroidia; Bacteroidales; Prevotellaceae.